RNAcentral lists this ribosomal RNA (916 nucleotides) under uncultured Chlamydiae bacterium. Its description in RNAcentral is "bacterial SSU rRNA". It matches the Rfam family "Bacterial small subunit ribosomal RNA", at positions 83 to 981 of the family's 1533-position model. Lineage: Bacteria; Pseudomonadati; Chlamydiota; Chlamydiia. The record is from RNAcentral.
GGCUAGCUCUUAGUGGCGGAGGGUUAGUAAUACAUAGAUAAUCUGCGGUGAACUUGGGAAUAACAGCUGGAAACGGUUGCUAAUACCGAAUGUGGUGGCUCCAGGAUCUGGAGUUAUUAAAGUGGGGGAUCGUAAGACCUCGCGGUUUACAAAGAGUCUAUGCGAUAUCAGCUAGUUGGUAGGGUAAUGGCCUACCAAGGCUAAGACGUCUAGGCGGAUUGAGAGAUUGACCGCCAACACUGGGACUGAGACACUGCCCAGACUCCUACGGGAGGCUGCAGUCGAGAAUCUUUCGCAAUGGACGAAAGUCUGACGAAGCGACGCCGUGUGUGUGAUGAAGGCCUUCGGGUUGUAAAGCACUUUCGCUUGAGAACAAGAGAGACUGGCUAAUAUCCGGUCGAUUUGAGCGUAUCAGGUAAAGAAGGACCGGCUAACUCCGUGCCAGCAGCUGCGGUAAUACGGAGGGUCCAAGCGUUAAUCGGAUUUAUUGGGCGUAAAGGGCGCGUAGGCGGAAAAAAAAGUUGGGUGUGAAAUCCCGGGGCUCAACCUCGGACACGCAUUCAAAACUCUUUUUCUAGAGGAUAAGCGGAGUAAAGGGAAUUCCACGUGUAGCGGUGAAAUGCGUAGAUAUGUGGAAGAACACCGGCGGCGAAGGCGCUUUUCUAGCUUAUUCCUGACGCUGAGGCGCGAAAGUGGGGGGAGCAAACAGGAUUAGAUACCCUGGUAGUCCUCACUGUAAACGGUGUACACUUGACGUAGUUGGUCUCAACCCCAACUGUGUCGUAGCUAACGCGAUAAGUGUACCGCCUGGGGAGUACGCUCGCAAGGGUGAAACUUAAAAGAAUUGACGGGGGCCCGCACAGGCAGUGGAGCAUGCGGUUUAAUUCGAUGCAACGCGAAGAACCUUACCCAGACU